This 378-nucleotide ribosomal RNA is filed under the name Boophis quasiboehmei. RNAcentral's name for it is "partial 16S ribosomal RNA". It matches the Rfam family "Bacterial large subunit ribosomal RNA", at positions 1970 to 2507 of the family's 2925-position model. The record is from RNAcentral. Lineage: Eukaryota; Metazoa; Chordata; Amphibia; Anura; Mantellidae.
UGUUCUUUAAAUGAGGACUAGUAUCAACGGCAUCACGAGGAUCCUACUGUCUCCCCCCUCUAAUCAGUGAAACUGAUCUCCCCGUGAAGAAGCGGGGAUAUACAUAUAAGACGAGAAGACCCCAUGGAGCUUUAAACCUGACAGCACCCGCUCAUUCUAUACCCCAUUAUUUGCCCGACCCCUGUCUGCUCAGUUUUAGGUUGGGGUGACCACGGAGUAUAAAAUAACCUCCAUGAAGAAGGGGAUAUUUCCCUUAUUAGAGAACCACACUUCCAAGAACUAAUAAAUUAAUUUUCAAUGACCCGAUACCCGAUAAUCGAUCAACGAACCAAGUUACCCUGGGGAUAACAGCGCAAUCCACCCUGAAAGCCCUUAUUA